GAGGGUAUAGCUCAGUGGUAGAGCACGUGCUUAGCAUGCAUGAGGUCCUGGAUUCAAUCACUGGUGCCUCCA
Molecule: transfer RNA, 72 nt
Filed under: Camelus bactrianus (Bactrian camel)
Lineage: Eukaryota; Metazoa; Chordata; Mammalia; Artiodactyla; Camelidae
Also listed under: 2 other names
Rfam family: tRNA
About the family: Transfer RNA (tRNA) molecules are approximately 80 nucleotides in length. Their secondary structure includes four short double-helical elements and three loops (D, anti-codon, and T loops).
Source: Rfam by way of RNAcentral